AGCGAACGCUGGCGGCAGGCCUAACACAUGCAAGUCGAACGAACUCUUCGGAGUUAGUGGCGGACGGGUGAGUAACACGUGGGAACGUGCCUUUAGGUUCGGAAUAACUCAGGGAAACUUGUGCUAAUACCGAAUGUGCCCUUCGUGGGAAAGAUUUAUCGCCUUUAGAGCGGCCCGCGUCUGAUUAGCUAGUUGGUGAGGUAAAGGCUCACCAAGGCGACGAUCAGUAGCUGGUCUGAGAGGAUGAUCAGCCACAUUGGGACUGAGACACGGCCCAAACUCCUACGGGAGGCAGCAGUGGGGAAUCUUGCGCAAUGGGCGAAAGCCUGACGCAGCCAUGCCGCGUGAAUGAUGAAGGUCUUAGGAUUGUAAAAUUCUUUCACCGGGGACGAUAAUGACGGUACCAGGAGAAGAAGCCCCGGCUAACUUCGUG
This 433-nucleotide ribosomal RNA is filed under the name uncultured bacterium. RNAcentral's name for it is "partial 16S ribosomal RNA". It matches the Rfam family "Bacterial small subunit ribosomal RNA", at positions 29 to 507 of the family's 1533-position model. The record is from RNAcentral.